AUGUGUGUGUGUGUAUGUGUGUGUGUGUGUGUGUGUGUGUGUGUGUGUGUGUGUGUGUGUGUGUGUGUGUGUGUGUGUGUGUGUGUGUGUGUGUGUGUGUGUGUGUGUGAUCCUGUCUGCUGUGUUUAUUCAGUGAGCUCCCCCUGGUGGCUUGUGGCGGUAGCAGCGGUCUGUGUCCCUGCGUGCACCUCAUCUCUGCUGCUGCUGUACUGCUGCCGUCGACGCAAGAGAGUACGGCGUGUGUUGAACAGACACCGUGGUGCAUAUCUCAGGGACAUGGCAGUUAAGACUCCGCUCUAUAUUAACUGCACGGAGGUGACACAUGUCUAUUGCAACGGCAGCUAUCAACUGGUUUACCAGAACGCCACGCCCCUCUUUGUACGCACCAAUCAGGCUCGGCCGAUAGGAAGAAGAGGAGGAGAGAGGCGCAUGCGAGCAAGAAGAGAGAGAGGAAGAAGAGAUGGAGCGACACGAAGGGAGACGAGCAGCAGAGAGGAAACGGAGACGGCCAUCUACGUUGAGAUCCUCUGACACUUCGCACAUCCAUAUGUUUAUAAUUUGAUUAAAGGACAACAUGUAACAUAAAGAGAAAUUAAAACAAUUCCGUUUUUAUUUUUUUAUUCAAAGACGACGCCACCUCUUGAUAUGAGUAAUCAUCAGGCCUUCAUGGUAGCAUCCUCCCCUUUGUGGUAUCAGAAAAACUCACUUUAUCUUAACAUUUCAACUGAUGAUGAUUUCUUAUUUCCCUUGACCAUUUGUUGUGGGGGUCGUCUGUCCCUCACAUGAACUUUUAUCCAUGUGGUCGUUGUGAGGUGUUGUGCAUUUCUGUAUACAUAAAAGAAAAACACUUAAAAGUCGAUUAUUUCCCAUGUGAAUAUGUUCAUGUGAUAACAAGAAUAUGCUAUAACUAUGAACAUUAUAUAAUACAUACAAUAUGACGUAUUAUACUCCAUAUAUAUAUAUAUAUAUAUAUAUAUAUAUAUAUAUAUAUAUAUAUAUAUAUAUAUAUAUAUAUAUAUAUAUAUAUAUAUAUAUAUCAGUUAGAAUAAAGGGGAAUAGGAAUAGGAAUUUGUGGUGAAUGUGCAAAUGUCUAAUAAGAACUAGAAAUUGAAUUUCCCUCAGAAAACGCGUGUGAAUGCUGACGGCUGAAUGAAAAGCGCCGAGCAUUGCUGAAAACAAAAAAUGUAAAAUCAAUGGAACUAAAGAAUCUGAAAGGUGUAGCAGUAGCUGAAGUAGUAGUUGUAGUUGAAGUAUAAGUAGUAGUAGCUGAAGUAGUAGUAGUAACUGAGGUAGUAGUAGUAGUAGCUGAAGUAGUAGUAGAAGCUGAAGUAGUAGAUAGUAGCUGAAGUAGUAGUACCAGCUGAAGUAGUAGGUAGUAGCUGAAGUAGUAUUAGUAUCGUUUGGAGUAGUAGUAAUGGUAGUAGUAGUAUUGGUAGGAGUAGUAAUGGAAGUAGUAGUAUUGGUAGGAGUAAAAUGUAAAUGUAAUAAGACCCGCCAUACACAGAAAUAUCAA
RNAcentral lists this long non-coding RNA (1513 nucleotides) under Gadus morhua (Atlantic cod). RNAcentral describes it as "lncRNA (ENSGMOG00000035458.1)". The record is from RNAcentral. Lineage: Eukaryota; Metazoa; Chordata; Actinopteri; Gadiformes; Gadidae.